This 1171-nucleotide ribosomal RNA is filed under the name Salmonella enterica subsp. enterica serovar Anecho. Its description in RNAcentral is "partial 23S ribosomal RNA". It matches the Rfam family "Bacterial large subunit ribosomal RNA", at positions 1143 to 2215 of the family's 2925-position model. Lineage: Bacteria; Pseudomonadati; Pseudomonadota; Gammaproteobacteria; Enterobacterales; Enterobacteriaceae. The record is from RNAcentral.
CACUGGUCGAGUCGGCCUGCGCGGAAGAUGUAACGGGGCUAAACCAUGCACCGAAGCUGCGGCAGCGAACGUAUCACUUAAAGCGAUUCAGCGGGUUACGAUUGACGGAGCGAAGCGACGUCAAAGCGUAUACAAAGUCGAGUCGGUUUAAGGAUACGUUCGUUGGGUAGGGGAGCGUUCUGUAAGCCUGUGAAGGUGGCCUGUGAGGGUUGCUGGAGGUAUCAGAAGUGCGAAUGCUGACAUAAGUAACGAUAAAGCGGGUGAAAAGCCCGCUCGCCGGAAGACCAAGGGUUCCUGUCCAACGUUAAUCGGGGCAGGGUGAGUCGACCCCUAAGGCGAGGCCGAAAGGCGUAGUCGAUGGGAAACGGGUUAAUAUUCCCGUACUUGGUGUUACUGCGAAGGGGGGACGGAGAAGGCUAUGUUGGCCGGGCGACGGUUGUCCCGGUUUAAGCGUGUAGGUGUGUGUUCCAGGUAAAUCCGGUUCACUUUAACACUGAGGCGUGAUGACGAGGCACUACGGUGCUGAAGCAACAAAUGCCCUGCUUCCAGGAAAAGCCUCUAAGCAUCAGGUAACAUCAAAUCGUACCCCAAACCGACACAGGUGGUCAGGUAGAGAAUACCAAGGCGCUUGAGAGAACUCGGGUGAAGGAACUAGGCAAAAUGGUGCCGUAACUUCGGGAGAAGGCACGCUGACACGUAGGUGAAGUGAUUUACUCAUGGAGCUGAAGUCAGUCGAAGAUACCAGCUGGCUGCAACUGUUUAUUAAAAACACAGCACUGUGCAAACACGAAAGUGGACGUAUACGGUGUGACGCCUGCCCGGUGCCGGAAGGUUAAUUGAUGGGGUCAGCGCAAGCGAAGCUCCUGAUCGAAGCCCCGGUAAACGGCGGCCGUAACUAUAACGGUCCUAAGGUAGCGAAAUUCCUUGUCGGGUAAGUUCCGACCUGCACGAAUGGCGUAAUGAUGGCCAGGCUGUCUCCACCCGAGACUCAGUGAAAUUGAACUCGCUGUGAAGAUGCAGUGUACCCGCGGCAAGACGGAAAGACCCCGUGAACCUUUACUAUAGCUUGACACUGAACAUUGAGCCUUGAUGUGUAGGAUAGGUGGGAGGCUUUGAAGUGUGGACGCCAGUCUGCAUGGAGCCGACCUUGAAAUACCACCCUUUAAUGUUU